CUGAGUAGGAUGAAGCCGGAGGAAACUCUGGUGGAGGUCCGAAGCGUUUUUGACGUGCAAAUCAAUCGUCAGACUUGGGUAUAGGGGCGAAAGACUAAUCGAACCAUCUAGUAGCUGGUUCCCUUCGAAGUUUCCCCCAGGAAAGCUGGUGCCAUGUUUGACAGUUUUAUCUGGUAAAGCGAAUGAUUAGAGGCAUUGGGGACGAAUUGUCCUCGACCUAUUCUCAAACUUUAAAUGGGUAAUGUACCGUUGUACUUCUUGAUAUUCAUGAGUGCUCGGUCAAAUGCAAUGGCACCAAGUGGGCCAUUUUUGGUAAGCAGAACUGGCGAUGUGGGAUGAACCAAACGUUGAGCUAGGAUGCCCAAAGUGCUUCUCAUGAGAUACCAUGAAAGGUGUCAGUCGAUAUUGACAGCAGGACGGUGGCCGCAGAAGUAGGAAUCCGCUAAGGAGUGUGUAACAACUCACCUGCCGAAUCGACUGGUCCUGAAAAUGGAUGGCGCUGGAGACGUAUAUCCAUGCUCGACCGUCAAUGCCAACGAAAGCGAUUGCUAUAUGGCUUGACGUGUAGAAGGGCGAUUGCCGUGGCGUCGAAACUUGCACCGUGAGGUGGGGUAGAGCUGCGGCAUGUGCAGAUCUUGGUGGUAGUAGCAAGUAUUCAAAUGAGAGCAUUGAAGACUGAAGUGGAGUAAGGUUCCAUGUGAACAGCAUUUGGACAUGGAUCAGCCGAUCCUAAGAGAACGUGUAAGUUCGUGAUUAAGCGCGUCGCCUUGUGCGUCGCAAUCGAAAGGGAAUCGGGUUAAUAUUCCCGAGCCAGGAUACGGAAUGUGCCUGAUUAUUCGGAAGUACCUUGUGUGCUUUCGACUUCAGGCAAAAGCGGCAACGCCAACAAACCCAGAGAUUAACUAUGCGGAGUCCGGGGAAGAGUUUUCUCUUCUUUGUAAGGGAUGUUAUCCCUGGAAACAGAUUGUCUGGCGAUAGGGUACGCAUCCCGUAAUGCAACGCGAUUCCUGCGAUGUACCGUGCGCUUCGUAUAGUGCUUGAAAAUCUGGGGGCGAGUUUGUUCAGGCCGUACCUGUUCGUACUGAUUUCCGCAGCAGGUCUCCAAGGUGAGCAGCCUCUAGUCGAUGGGACAAAGUAGACAAGGGAAGUCGGCAAAUUAGAUCCGUAACUUCGGAAAAAGGAUUGGCUCUAAAGGCUGAGUUGGUCGGGCGGUUGCGUGAAGCUGGGAGCGACGCUUUGACUCUGUCUCAGACUCCGUUCUCGCAAGGGAUGCGGAAUCGAGGACGGAACUUUGUCUACGCUUUCUGUGGACCGCGGUCGCUAUGCCACCCGUGCGGUAUCUAAACGUAAGUCUCGAGCCGUGCGACGUGGAUCCGAUCAGCGUUUAACAGCUGACCUAGAACUGGUAUGGACAAGGGGAAUCCAACUGUUUAAUUAAAACAAAGCAUUGCGAUAGCUGUAAUCGGUGUUGACGCGAUGUGAUUUCUGCCCAGUGCUCUGAAUGUUAAAGUGAAGGAACUCAUCCAAGCGCGAGUUAACGGCGGAAGUAACUAUGACUUUCUUAAGGUAGCCAAAUGCCUCGUCAUCUAAUUAGUGACGUGCAUGAAUGGAUUAUUGAGAUUCCUUCUGUCCCUGUCUGCAACCUAGCGAAACCACAGCCAAGGGAACGGGCUUGGAGAGUAACAGCGGGGAAAGAAGACCCUGUUGAGCUUGACUCUAGUCAGUCUUUGUGAAGAAACAUGAUGGGUGUAGAAUAGGUGGGAGGACGCGACAGUGAAAUACCACUACUAUCAUCGUUUCUUUACUUACUCAAUUGAUCAGGGAGCGUGAAUUCGCUAUUUGCGAUGUAUGAUUAUUCCUCUAGUGGAAUAAGUGUCUGGUUUGAGAACACAGACUGAUUGGGAGUUUGACUGGGGCGGUACAUCUGUUAAAAUCUAACGCAGGUGUCCUAAGGCAAUCUCAGCGUGGACAGAAACCUCGCAUAGAGCGAAAGGGCAAAAGAUUGCUUGAUCUUGAUUUUCAGUACGAAUAAAGA
Molecule: ribosomal RNA, 2035 nt
Filed under: Neoechinorhynchus tenellus
Lineage: Eukaryota; Metazoa; Acanthocephala; Eoacanthocephala; Neoechinorhynchida; Neoechinorhynchidae
Description: partial large subunit ribosomal RNA
Rfam family: Eukaryotic large subunit ribosomal RNA
Source: RNAcentral